Molecule: ribosomal RNA, 520 nt
Filed under: Yarrowia lipolytica
Lineage: Eukaryota; Fungi; Ascomycota; Dipodascomycetes; Dipodascales
Description: eukaryotic LSU rRNA
Rfam family: Eukaryotic large subunit ribosomal RNA
Source: RNAcentral
ACAGGGAUUGCCUCAGUAACGGCGAGUGAAGCGGCAAAAGCUCAAAUUUGAAACCCUCGGGAUUGUAAUUUGAAGAUUUGGCAUUGGAGAAAGCUAACCCAAGUUGCUUGGAAUAGUACGUCAUAGAGGGUGACAACCCCGUCUGGCUAACCGUUCUCCAUGUAUUGCCUUAUCAAAGAGUCGAGUUGUUUGGGAAUGCAGCUCAAAGUGGGUGGUAAACUCCAUCUAAAGCUAAAUACUGGUGAGAGACCGAUAGCGAACAAGUACUGUGAAGGAAAGGUGAAAAGAACUUUGAAAAGAGAGUGAAAUAGUAUGUGAAAUUGUUGAUAGGGAAGGAAAUGAGUGGAGAGUGGCCGAGGUUUCAGCCGCCCCUCGUGGGCGGUGUACUGCCGACGCCGAGUCAUCGAUAGCGAGACGAGGGUUACAAAUGGGAGCGCCUUCGGGCGUUCUCCCCUAACCCUCCACACUGCCACCGACGACAUAAUCCACCCAUUUCACCCGUCUGGAAAACACGGACCAA